RNAcentral lists this transfer RNA (66 nucleotides) under Arabidopsis lyrata subsp. lyrata. It matches the Rfam family "tRNA". From Rfam's summary of the family: Transfer RNA (tRNA) molecules are approximately 80 nucleotides in length. Their secondary structure includes four short double-helical elements and three loops (D, anti-codon, and T loops). Further hydrogen bonds mediate the characteristic L-shaped molecular structure. tRNAs have two regions of fundamental functional importance: the anti-codon, which is responsible for specific mRNA codon recognition, and the 3' end, to which the tRNAs corresponding amino acid is attached (by aminoacyl-tRNA synthetases). tRNAs cope with the degeneracy of the genetic code in two manners: having more than one tRNA (with a specific anti-codon) for a particular amino acid; and 'wobble' base-pairing, i.e. permitting non-standard base-pairing at the 3rd anti-codon position. The record is from Rfam by way of RNAcentral. Lineage: Eukaryota; Viridiplantae; Streptophyta; Magnoliopsida; Brassicales; Brassicaceae.
GUGUACAUGGUCUUAGGAUAAUUGCCUUCCAAGCAAUAGACCCGGGUUCGACUCCCGGCAGACGCA